Long non-coding RNA from Cynoglossus semilaevis (tongue sole), 768 nucleotides. RefSeq lists it as uncharacterized. The record is from RefSeq and is a predicted model, not a curated record. The transcript is spliced from 4 exons. NCBI's taxonomy places the organism in Eukaryota, Metazoa, Chordata, Actinopteri, Pleuronectiformes, Cynoglossidae.
GGCUCUAAUUUGAUGGGAACUAUGCAAAAAGGUAAAAUUUUGAAAUUUCUUUUCCAGAAAUAUUCAUCAAAAUAUUUUAUCAUCUGAACGCAUGACACACGACAUUCGCGUUUUAUCAAAAAAGUUUCUAAUUAAGUUUUCAAAAUGCUCUAAUUUGAUGAGAAACUUGCUUUAAUUUUGUAUUAUCUUUUUUAUCAUUUGACCAUGUGAAUUUUCUUAAAGAAAUAUUUAAAAUGCUGAAAUUUUAAUGACAUUUAAAAGUGAUAAAAAACUGAUCAAUUUAAUUUUUAGUCUUUCCUUCACAUUUAUGUUAAUAGUCACUUCUUCUUUUUCCUAAACGUCUUUAUGUGGAUCUGAUUAAUCACCUUGCUGAGCAGGACACGCUACUAUGAGGCCUAUAUUAGGUCAGAAAAUGGUGUUGGACUUUACCCUACCAUUCGCCGGGAGGACAGUGAUGACGAAAGAUGCUCAGGAGAGUACGACAGCGGAGACGAGAUUCAUAAAGAUGACAUCAUGCUGACAAGAGAUAGACUCACCAAUAGAGCACAACAUGAUGCAGAAGGAGACUUUGAUCUUGAGGUUUUCAGAGGAAACCACCAGUCUGGAAGUUACUUUGAAGAGGAUCAUCAGCUGACUCACCAAAACAGUAGGCAGUCACCGAAGAGCUGGCUUCUACCCUCACCUCAACCCUCCAACAGACCAACAUUCAAUUUUGAGUAUCUUCGCAGUCGCAGUCAGGAUGAUGCUCAUUACCCUCCAGCCUGCACC